This 911-nucleotide ribosomal RNA is filed under the name Xylodon sambuci. Its description in RNAcentral is "partial 25S ribosomal RNA". It matches the Rfam family "Eukaryotic large subunit ribosomal RNA", at positions 62 to 961 of the family's 3401-position model. The record is from RNAcentral. Lineage: Eukaryota; Fungi; Basidiomycota; Agaricomycetes; Hymenochaetales; Schizoporaceae.
AAACUAACAAGGAUUCCCCUAGUAACUGCGAGUGAAGCGGGAUGAGCUCAAAUUUAAAAUCUGACUGCUUUGGUAGUCCGAGUUGUAAUCUGGAGAAGCAUUUUCUGUGUUGGACCGUGUACAAGUUUCUUGGAAUAGAAUGUCAUAGAGGGUGAGAAUCCCGUCCAUGACACGGACUACCAAUGCUCUGUGAUAUGCUCUCAAAGAGUCGAGUUGUUUGGGAAUGCAGCUCAAAAUGGGUGGUAAGUUCCAUCUAAAGCUAAAUAUUGGCGAGAGACCGAUAGCGAACAAGUACCGUGAGGGAAAGAUGAAAAGCACUUUGAAAAGAGAGUUAAACAGUACGUGAAAUUGUUGAAAGGGAAACGCUUGAAGUCAGUCGCAUUUUCUGGAAUUCAGCCUUGCUAUUGCUUGGUGCACUUUCUAGUAAAUGGGUCAACAUCAAUUUUGGUUGGUGGAUAAAGGUUGAAGGAAUGUGGCAUCCUUGGAUGUGUUAUAGCCUUCUACCGUAUACACUGGCUGGGAUUGAGGUCUGCAGCAUGCCUUUAUGGCCGGGGUUCGCCCACGUAUCAUGCUUAGGAUGUUGGCAUAAUGGCUUUAAGCGACCCGUCUUGAAACACGGACCAAGGAGUCUAACAUGCUUGCGAGUAUUAGAGUGGAAAACUCUUGUGCGUAAUGAAAGUGAAAGUUGGGACUCUUCGCAGAGGCACCGACGCCCGGCCCUGAAGUUUACUGACGGUGCUGCGGUAGAGCACGUAUGUUGGGACCCGAAAGAUGGUGAACUAUGCCUGAAUAGGGUGAAGCCAGGGGAAACUCUGGUGGAGGCUCGUAGCGAUUCUGACGUGCAAAUCGAUCGUCAAAUUUGGGUAUAGGGGCGAAAGACUAAUCGAACCAUGCGAGUAGCUGGYUCCUGN